Molecule: long non-coding RNA, 437 nt
Filed under: Cairina moschata (Muscovy duck)
Lineage: Eukaryota; Metazoa; Chordata; Aves; Anseriformes; Anatidae
Description: domestica (muscovy Duck (domestic type)) lncRNA (ENSCMMG00000008029.1)
Source: RNAcentral
GCCAGAUGUUAAAGGGCCAGCAAGGGACAGGCAGUGAACACCUUGACUACCUUGCCAGUCGUGCUUACCCCGUGCCACAUCCCUCCCCUGAGGCACCUUGGCCCCAUCUCACCUUAGGCUUGGCUGCCUCUGGAGCAGGAGGAGCCGUUGGUAGGACCUGCCAAGGAGGGAAUGAUGACGGCUCUCCCCGACACAAUGUCUUUACCUCUGCGUGUCCAGUGAGAGGCUGUGGGACCACAGACACUUGUUCACAAGUGAGGGCAACAGACAGAUGGACUUUUAACAAAGGGAUGCUGGAUGAGAAUCAUCAGUGGAAUCACAACCAAAUUGUCGACUUACCCAGCAUCUCCAAACAGCGAAGAAAAGGACCAAUGGUGCAGUUAAUAUAUGCAGCUGUGGAAGGACAGUGGCACCUGAAGCUGGCAAUCAGCCAGUAG